This 254-nucleotide ribosomal RNA is filed under the name uncultured bacterium. RNAcentral's name for it is "partial 16S ribosomal RNA". It matches the Rfam family "Bacterial small subunit ribosomal RNA", at positions 524 to 776 of the family's 1533-position model. RNAcentral also lists the same sequence under 1 other name. The record is from RNAcentral.
UACAGAGGUCCCAAGCGUUGUUCGGAUUCACUGGGCGUAAAGGGUGCGCAGGUGGUUUGGCAAGUUUGACGUGAAAGCCCCGGGCUUAACCCGGGAAUGGCGUUGAAAACUGCUUGAACUGGAGGAUUGGAGGGGGGACUGGAAUUCUUGGUGUAGCAGUGAAAUGCGUAGAUAUCAAGAGGAACACCAGUGGCGAAGGCGAGUCCCUGGACAAUACCUGACACUGAGGCACGAAAGCCAAGGGAGCAAACAGG